Molecule: long non-coding RNA, 1610 nt
Organism: Prosopis cineraria
Lineage: Eukaryota; Viridiplantae; Streptophyta; Magnoliopsida; Fabales; Fabaceae
Exons: 2
Source: RefSeq, a predicted model, not a curated record
GACAAUCUCUUAAAGCAUGUGAAGUGUUCUCCUCCACCCUCCUACAUCUGCAACAGAUAGAAGAGCCUCCCAAUAUCCUGUUAUACUUAGCAGAAGUUAACAAACUAUCAGAAACAGCAAGCCAUAAAAAAAAUUGUAUUCUUCUCGGUCCUUUCCAUUUCCAUAUCCUUUGCCAUUUUCUUGCUCCACUUAAAUUGUUAAAACCACACAAUCGCUUGUACACAUCAGCAACUUUAAAAUUCUUCUUCCCUCUACAUCCCCAAACCACUAUAUCUUCACCAUCCUCCUCUAUGGAUGGUAAUCGAGCCAUUAUUCUAUACACAACCUCUUCUGGCAAUAGUCUCCUUAACUCCUCAAUUUUCCACUCCAUUAAUAUUCACGUAGUGCCCUACUUUUUUGCUGCAUUCACCAGAAUCCAACUCAACAGUGCAGAAAUCUCUCAAAAAAACAUCCCCCAGCCACUUAUGUUUCCAAAAGCUAACCAUCUUCCCAUUAUUUACUUCCCAAGCAAUGUUCUGUAACAAAUCUGGCCACAAUUCUCCAAGCUUUUUCUAGAGCACAGAAUCAAUGGCCUUCACCUCUAUUUGCUGCAUUAAAUCCUUAUUUCUCCCAUAUUUCCCAACUAGAACUUGGGAACAAAGUUUUUGUGGCUUCACCAUUACCUUCAAACCCACCUUACUUAUUAAAGCAUUAUUCAUGCUUUUCAUGUCUUUUAAUCCAAAUCCACCAAGAUCCGUUGGCUUAGACAAGUUCUUCCAACUCAUUAAAGGUACUUGUUGAGUUACAGCUUGAACCAAUGUAAGUCUACCAGCCAAUGAGAGACUCUGUGCCUUCCAUCUACGAGGCUUUUUCUGUAUCUUAUCAAUUAAAAAUGAAAUUAUUUGGUAUUGCUUGCUGGUUUUUGUGGUAUUGGAGAAACAAAAUAUUGUUUGAGGAAGGUUUUGAGGAACAAGAAGUAUCUGUUUUGGCUAUAUACCGCUAUGCUGAGAAUGUAAAAUGGGCAUAUAAAGGAGAGGUUGGUAUUUUGAAGAAAUGGGAAAGUAUAAAGUGGAAACCACCUAAUGUAGGGUGGAUAAAGUUGAAUCUAGAUGGGGCUGUGAAAGGGCAACUUGGAGAGGCUGGAUGUGGUGGUUUAAUUCGAGAUAAUAAUGGUGGAUGGCCAGGAGGCUUUGCGAAUAGGAUUGGAUGUUGUAUGGUGAUUGAUGUUGAAUUAUGGGGAAUUUGAUCAGGAUUUUGUAUCUUGAAGAGAUUGGGUUUUAAGAAAGUGAUUGUUGAGUCUGAUUCUAUUGCUAUGGUGACUAUGAUGCAAAAUAUGAUGACCGAUUUUGAUGUAAAUAACAAAUUUAUUCGUGCUGUACAAAUACUUAAAGAUGAUAGUUAGGAUAUACAGUUGUUACACAUUUAUAGACAAGGUAAUUUUUGUGCUGACUAGUUAGCAAAUUAGAGUUCAACUCAGGAACAUAGCUUACAAUUACUUAGUUGUCCUCCUAGAGGGUUAAUAAAGUUUCUGUAUAGAGAUAAUAUGGGUAUUACAUACGCAAGACUGAUUUUUGUACAAUUUUUUGGGCUGGAUGCCCCAUUGUUUAAUCACAAAAAAAGUUGAGAGUAAA